Molecule: ribosomal RNA, 196 nt
Filed under: uncultured bacterium
Lineage: Bacteria
Description: partial 16S ribosomal RNA
Rfam family: Bacterial small subunit ribosomal RNA
Source: RNAcentral
CCUACGGGAGGCAGCAGUGGGGAAUUUUGGGCAAUGGGGGAAACCCUGACCCAGCGACGCCGCGUGGAGGAUGAAGGCCUUCGGGUUGUAAACUCCUGUCAGGUGGGAAGAAAAGCUAUCCGGUUAAUACCCGGAUGGAAUUGACGGUACCACCAAAGGAAGCCCCGGCUAACUCCGUGCCAGCAGCCGCGGUAAU